Long non-coding RNA from Nematostella vectensis (starlet sea anemone), 373 nucleotides. RefSeq lists it as uncharacterized. The record is from RefSeq and is a predicted model, not a curated record. The transcript is spliced from 2 exons. Lineage: Eukaryota; Metazoa; Cnidaria; Anthozoa; Actiniaria; Edwardsiidae.
CUUCAGGAAAUCCUGGAUCCACAAAGCAGUUUAUUGUCUAUAGGAGGUACACAACCCAACAAACAAGUUUGCUAGCAGACUGCUAGGAUACAAUUACCACCCAAAGCUCAUGGGAGUGAGAAAGCUAAACAACAUAGAAUGAAUUCACAUGGAAGGGACUUCUACCUUUUCAUGAGCAGUUCCACGUCCCCCAGCUCAAUAGUGCGGCGUCCUGCAUGUCCACUGAACGCCACCAAGUCAGCUGCCUGUUGCUUGAAAAACAUCACUGACCUGAAAGUGGUUAAUCAACUGAUAUUCACUCUAAAUAUUUAUGUACUGUAAAGAGGUAUUUAUGGACUUGGGAUUUAUCCUAUAAAACAUAAGGAUUCCUUUG